Molecule: ribosomal RNA, 253 nt
Filed under: uncultured bacterium
Lineage: Bacteria
Description: partial 16S ribosomal RNA
Rfam family: Bacterial small subunit ribosomal RNA
Source: RNAcentral
UACGGGGGGGGCAAGCGUUGUUCGGAUUUACUGGGCGUAAAGGGCGCGUAGGCGGCGCGACAAGUCACUUGUGAAAUCUCCGGGCUUAACCCGGAGCGGCCAAGUGAUACUGUAGUGCUAGAGUGCGGAAGGGGCUACUGGAAUUCUCGGUGUAGCGGUGAAAUGCGUAGAUAUCGAGAGGAACACCUGCGGCGAAGGCGGGUAGCUGGGCCGACACUGACGCUGAGGCGCGAAAGCCAGGGGAGCGAACGGG